GGGGGCGAUCAGGUUUCGACGUGGUCGGUUCUCCGGCAGAGCUGCAAGCCGAGGUCCCCGGUCGGCCUCGUAAAACAACCGGGAACAACGUAGGUGCGAAGAACGAACUCGCACUCGCUGCCUAACUGAAUUAGGUCAGCGCGUCGCCCCGGGCUCGGCCCGUGGCCCGGGUAGCGGCGUCAGAGAACGGGCUCGGCGCCGAGGGAGAGCCAAUCGCCCGAGGCGCGACAGCGCAGGAUGGCUAGCCCGGCGGCAGGUCGGCUGUCCACCGGCCGGCGGGCGAACGAGAAGGGCAGCCUACGCUUGUAGACGCUCCGCCCGGUGCGGCCGCGGACGCGGGUUCGAUUCCCGCCGCCUCCACCU
RNAcentral lists this transfer-messenger RNA (363 nucleotides) under Actinomycetota bacterium. It matches the Rfam family "transfer-messenger RNA". Rfam says of the family: Bacterial tmRNA, also known as 10Sa RNA or SsrA, is named for its dual tRNA and mRNA-like properties. The record is from RNAcentral. Lineage: Bacteria; Bacillati; Actinomycetota.